This 30-nucleotide non-coding RNA is filed under the name Mus musculus (house mouse). Lineage: Eukaryota; Metazoa; Chordata; Mammalia; Rodentia; Muridae. The record is from RNAcentral.
UGGAAAUCAAAGCAAUUCUACCUCAGCCUC